Astyanax mexicanus (Mexican tetra) is the source of this 333-nucleotide non-coding RNA. Lineage: Eukaryota; Metazoa; Chordata; Actinopteri; Characiformes; Acestrorhamphidae. The record is from the annotation of a RefSeq genome assembly.
AUGUAUCACUGUGCCGGUCCCACGGUGAAGCCCUCCGUGUCUCUGCUCCGCCCCUCCUCUCUGCAGCUGUAUGAGGGCUCCGCCUCUCUGCUCUGCCUGCUGUCUGGCUACUCUCCACAGGGGGCGCUGGUCAGCUGGACGGUGGACGGCUCAGAGGUGAAGAACGGGGUUCUGACCAGUGCAGAAGAAGAGAAGAACGGCCGCUACAGCCGCAGCAGCACCCUGACCCUCAGCAAAGCACUCUGGGAAAAGGGGGAGGAGUUUACCUGCACCGUCUCCCACGACAACGCGGUUCAGCCAAUCAGGUUGAGGAAGAGCGAGUGUGAAGGCUAG